This 200-nucleotide ribosomal RNA is filed under the name uncultured bacterium. RNAcentral describes it as "partial 16S ribosomal RNA". It matches the Rfam family "Bacterial small subunit ribosomal RNA", at positions 326 to 539 of the family's 1533-position model. The record is from RNAcentral.
ACGCUCGACACCUACGGUAGGCAGCAGUUGGGAAUAUUGGACAAUGGAGGAAACUCUGAUCCAGUGACGCCGCGUGAAGGAAGAAGGUCUUCGGAUUGUAAACUUAUUUUGUCAGGGAAGAAAAAUGACUGUACCUGAAGAAAAAGCACCGGCUAACUACGUGCCCGACAGCCGCGGUAAUCUGAGCGGGCUGGCAAGGC